RNAcentral lists this unclassified non-coding RNA (240 nucleotides) under soil metagenome. RNAcentral's name for it is "partial contains 5.8S ribosomal RNA, internal transcribed spacer 2, and large subunit ribosomal RNA". The record is from RNAcentral.
AACCAUAGAAACCUGCGGAGUACCUGCGGAAGGAUCAUUACCGAGUGAGGGCCCUCCGGGUCCAACCUCCCACCCGUGUUUAACGAACCUUGUUGCUUCGGCGGGCCCGCCUCACGGCCGCCGGGGGGCACCCCGCCCCCGGGCCCGCGCCCGCCGAAGACACCUGUGAACGCUGUCUGAAGUUGCAGUCUGAGACACUAGCUCAAUCAGUUAAAACUUUUAGCAACGGAUCUCAGAUCG